This 227-nucleotide long non-coding RNA is filed under the name Nicotiana benthamiana. RNAcentral describes it as "long non-coding RNA (NBEN_LNC029876)". The record is from RNAcentral. Lineage: Eukaryota; Viridiplantae; Streptophyta; Magnoliopsida; Solanales; Solanaceae.
CACCCAAAACAUCCACUGAGUGAGGAUCGAGCCACCGGAUAGCAGUAAAACCCUAGGUUCAACCACCAGAAACCCUAGAAUCUAGAGAGUCACCGGAAAAUCACCCAAAACGUUCGAGUGAAGAAGAUAUACCCAGAUAUCACAGUGAAAGUCUCAGAUCAACAUCCGAUUUAGAUCGGAAUCGUCAUCGACCAAAUACGUCAGAAACACCCCCAAAAAUUUCAAAC